UACGGAGGGUGCAAGCGUUAUCCGGAUUCACUGGGUUUAAAGGGUGCGUAGGCGGAUAGGUAAGUCCGUGGUGAAAUCCUGCAGCUUAACUGCAGAACUGCCAUGGAUACUAUCUAUCUUGAAUGUCGUGGAGGUUAGCGGAAUAUGUCAUGUAGCGGUGAAAUGCUUAGAGAUGACAUAGAACACCCAUUGCGAAGGCAGCUAACUACGCGAUAAUUGACGCUGAUGCACGAAAGCGUGGGGAGCGAACGGG
RNAcentral lists this ribosomal RNA (253 nucleotides) under uncultured bacterium. RNAcentral describes it as "partial 16S ribosomal RNA". It matches the Rfam family "Bacterial small subunit ribosomal RNA", at positions 524 to 776 of the family's 1533-position model. The record is from RNAcentral.